GGCGCCCAGCCUGAGGCGAGGCUGUUUGAAGGAGGCCCAACUCCAGGCGCUGGUUGACUAGCAGAUGAGCCUGGACAGCAGCCCUUCCCCAGAUACCGGCACUGUGGAGAUGCCUCUGACCUGGCUAUUCUGGGGUUUGGACCCAGCCUUUCGAUGGAUGAUGUGUUUGAAGAAUCUCCAGGCUUCUCCUCUGCCAUCUCCAUUUCUGGGGGCCAGGUUUGGCUCAGGAGCCAGGAGUCCUUGACUCCCCUUGUGACCCUGACAGCACCCUUUCUCAAGUCUCAGUUCUCCAGCGGGACAGUGGAAUUGGGUCCCAGUUCUGGGGAGUGCUCUGCUGGCACAGUGUCCUAGGAGUGCCUGAUGUGAACGACAAAUCCAUGGGCUUUGGCUCUCAUAAACCUUUGCCCAUUCAACACACACACACACACACACACACACACACACACACACACCACCUAGCAAACUGCAGGAUACUGAAGUCCCACCAUUAAAGCUUGUCUCUCGGUCU
Lynx canadensis (Canada lynx) is the source of this 508-nucleotide long non-coding RNA. RefSeq lists it as uncharacterized. The transcript has 2 exons. NCBI's taxonomy places the organism in Eukaryota, Metazoa, Chordata, Mammalia, Carnivora, Felidae. The record is from RefSeq and is a predicted model, not a curated record.